AAUAAAUAUAGCCAUGAGUUUCAACGCCAACUUUAAUCGUUCGUCUUAUUUUUUUUAUAAUUAGUAUUUUUGUUAUUAUAAAAUGAUAAAUCAUGAAUAGUACUUUACUUGUGACUUAUGUUUUUAAUUUUUUAAAUUUCUUUUAAAUAAGACGAAUAGUAAAAGUUGGACGCGGAAAACCAUAACUGUAUUUAUU
Non-coding RNA from Oryza meridionalis, 196 nucleotides. The record is from Rfam. NCBI's taxonomy places the organism in Eukaryota, Viridiplantae, Streptophyta, Magnoliopsida, Poales, Poaceae.